UUAAACAAAUACUUAUUGAAUGCCCAUUAUACAUCAGACACUGGGAAUAAAGCUGUGAAUAAAACCCAGAGAAAACCUCUAGAUUUUUAUAUGAACUUGUCCAAAUUUUAAGUGUUAGGAACUAAUAGAAAAUUUAGAAAACAUUGUGUAGGCCAAGCAAAACACAUCUGUGGGCUGCGUUAGGCCUGCAGGCUGCCAGUUUGUGACUUCAGUUCGAAGACUUUGAUGGAGCAAGUGUUCUCUGAAGAGGGGAGUGUGUGGAACGGGCCACUAGGGCCAGGGGAAAUAUUGUUAACACUUCUAUUCAUUUUUUUUUUCCAAUGUCACCUUUGAAAAGUUUUCACUUUGGGAAACACUGUGAUGUAUAGAUAACGGAUUUACACAUAGCACAUGCAUAUCUUUAUAAGUAUUUAAAUCAACAUUAUUGGUAUAUGUUGGAAAUAAAGUGGUCAGAAUACUUUCAUUGAUAGGGAUAUGGAUCAAGGUCACUGUAAUAAUCUUUGGAAAGUAUGUGUUUGUACGACUUUGCCCCAAAGAAGGUUAAAGCUGUCUCCAGCUCAGCAGGCAGAGGAUGUUUGAGAACGUGAGAUGGAGACAGGAUAUCUAUUCCAGCACUGAUUCAACUCGACCACCCUCUGUUCCUUCCACCAGAGCACUGUCCUGCCCUGAGUGAAAGCUGCAGACCCUUCUGAGUGAUGAGGAAAUCACUGGUGAUGGGUCCCACGCAGGGUGGACCAACAUUUCAACCUCCAUGGCCAAGGCUGGGGGUGCCAUGGUCCUCAUUGUUGUUACUUACUAUGCUCCUGAGAGGUACAUGUGAGGACACAGCUGUGCUGGAGAAGACUGAAAGGUGAUUUAGUAAUCACUCUGACGUGUCAGGAGGGUAUUGGAAGAAGGCAGAGGGACAGUCACUCUUCAGUUAUCCUGAGGGCAAAACAGGAAGAGACGUGGAGAGGUCCUCAGCUGCUGAAGAAACUGGUUUGUGGACCACCAUCCCUGAUGCUCCUUCCUGGCCAUCUCCAUUUUGGUCUGCUCGACUACCAUCUCCUAUUCUCAAUUCUUGCUUGGCACAUGAUUAUUUUGUGAAGAAAGAGGACCCAGAUGGGACUGGGACCUUCCUAACCAAUCAGAAGAGGAAAAACCCAACUAAGGCAGUUCCUUCAUCGAGCUGAAACAGACCUGGCUUUGCUUAUCUCUAAGGAUGUUAAUGGGCAGAGAGCCCUCUGUGACCGACCAGUGGAACUGAGUAAAUGCAAAAUGGCCACCUACAUGACCUCUGAUAGACCCCAAGCCUGUAUGCUAAGUAACACCCACCCCCCCCCCACAAGAGUCCUGACAGUUGACAAAUGUCUUGACUUCGGACAGAAAGAGCCGUAAAAGGAACAGAAAGAGGUGGCACCCUAAUUCCUGAAAAGUCUCUAUUUAUUCCAAGAAUAGACAUGAGUAUUCUUCCCCUUUAUUGCCUAUCCUUCUCUUUCGUCUUUCACCCUGUAUCCAUGACUUCGCCAUCCCUGAAUGCAGAGGACUUGAAUCGUGAGCUAGACUCUAAUUCUCAGUCCUUUGAUUGCUGAAUAAACUUGCGCUACAGGUACUCAGUGUUGGUUUUAUCUUCGUGACAGCAAACAGAAAAAUUAUCCCUGUUGGGGGAUGUAUUUCUGCCUCUCUUAGGAGAGGGGCCAACAAACUGUGGGUAACAGGGAAGCCCUGGAUGGAGGUCGCCAUCAAGCUGAUGGAAACUCUGGGAAGCUCAGCUUUUUACCCGCAGAGGAUUUGCUCCCAUUACAGAGGUUUGGGGGAGGUAGUUUGCAGCACCUCACUGGAAAGAGCCUUGGAUUCCAUCUGUGCCUCCUAGCUACAGAGCAGGCUGAGGAAAG
Molecule: long non-coding RNA, 1874 nt
Organism: Marmota monax (woodchuck)
Lineage: Eukaryota; Metazoa; Chordata; Mammalia; Rodentia; Sciuridae
Exons: 3
Source: RefSeq, a predicted model, not a curated record